GUGCCAGCAGCCGCGGUAAUACGUAGGGUGCAAGCGUUAUCCGGAAUUAUUGGGCGUAAAGAGCUCGUAGGCGGUUUGUCGCGUCUGCUGUGAAAUUCCGAGGCUCAACCUCGGGCUUGCAGUGGGUACGGGCAGACUAGAGUGCGGUAGGGGAGAUUGGAAUUCCUGGUGUAGCGGUGGAAUGCGCAGAUAUCAGGAGGAACACCGAUGGCGAAGGCAGAUCUCUGGGCCGUAACUGACGCUGAGGAGCGAAAGGGUGGGGAGCAAACAGGCUUAGAUACCCUGGUAGUCCACCCCGUAAACGUUGGGAACUAGUUGUGGGGUCCUUUCCACGGAUUCCGUGACGCAGCUAACGCAUUAAGUUCCCCGCCUGGGGAGUACGGCCGCAAGGCUAAAACUCAAAGGAAUUGACGGGGACCGCACAAGCGGCGGAGCAUGCGGAUUAAUUCGAUGCAACGCGAAGAACCUUACCAAGGCUUGACAUACACGAGAACGGGCCAGAAAUGGUCAACUCUUUGGACACUCGUGAACAGGUGGUGCAUGGUUGUCGUCAGCUCGUGUCGUGAGAUGUUGGGUUAAGUCCCGCAACGAGCGCAACCCUCGUUCUAUGUUGCCAGCACGUAAUGGUGGGAACUCAUGGGAUACUGCCGGGGUCAACUCGGAGGAAGGUGGGGAUGACGUCAAAUCAUCAUGCCCCUUAUGUCUUGGGCUUCACGCAUGCCACAAUGGCCGGUACAAUGGGCUGCGAUACCGUAAGGUGGAGCGAAUCCCAAAAAGCCGGUCCCAGUUCGGAUUGAGGUCUGCAACUCGACCUCAUGAAGUCGGAGUCGCUAGUAAUCGCAGAUCAGCAACGCUGCGGUGAAUACGUUCCCGGGUCUUGCACUCACCGCCCGUC
RNAcentral lists this ribosomal RNA (895 nucleotides) under uncultured organism. Its description in RNAcentral is "SSU rRNA". It matches the Rfam family "Bacterial small subunit ribosomal RNA", at positions 505 to 1398 of the family's 1533-position model. The record is from RNAcentral.